GGCCUCCCUCUUUGGGGUGAUCAAUCGUGGAGCCCCUCCAUUGAUCGCUCUGCAGAGGGUGGCC
This 64-nucleotide microRNA precursor is filed under the name Myotis brandtii (Brandt's bat). Its description in RNAcentral is "mir-9242 microRNA precursor family". It matches the Rfam family "mir-9242 microRNA precursor family". The record is from Rfam by way of RNAcentral. Lineage: Eukaryota; Metazoa; Chordata; Mammalia; Chiroptera; Vespertilionidae.